RNAcentral lists this ribosomal RNA (1083 nucleotides) under Triticum aestivum (bread wheat). Its description in RNAcentral is "partial small subunit ribosomal RNA". The record is from RNAcentral. Lineage: Eukaryota; Viridiplantae; Streptophyta; Magnoliopsida; Poales; Poaceae.
AUGGCCAAGCCGACGGUGCCUCGGAUGAAGCUGGGCUCGCAGGGGCUGGAGGUCUCCGCGCAGGGCCUCGGCUGCAUGGGCAUGUCCGCCAACUACGGCCCGGCGAAGCCGGACGAUGACAUGCUCGCGCUCCUCCGCCACGCCUUCGCCGCCGGCGUCACUCUCCUUGACACCUCCGACGCCUACGGCCCCUUCACCAACGAGCUCCUUCUCGGAAAGGCGCUCCAGGGAGGGUUGUUGGCGACCGGUGGGGCGGGAGUGCAGGUGGCCACCAAGUUCGGGGUCAAGUUCACCGAGGCGCCGCCGGGGUGGGAGUUCUGCGGCUCGCCGGCGUACGUCCGGCAGGCGUGCGAGGCCAGCCUGCGGCGCCUUGGAGUCGACUGCAUCGAUCUCUACUACCAGCACCGCAUCGACACCCGUCUGCCCAUCGAGAUCACGAUCAGCCUUGUUCCUGAGUCCAGUUCAGAUAUGGGCGAGCUGAAGAAGCUGGUGGGGGAGGGCAAGAUAAAGUACGUCGGCUUGUCGGAGGCCUCCGCUUCCACCAUAAGAAGAGCCCACGCCGUCCAUCCCAUCACCGCCGUGCAGCUCGAGUGGUCUCUCUGGACCAGAGACUCUGAAGAGGAGAUCAUCCCUACCUGCAGGGAGCUUGGCAUCGGCAUAGUGGCAUACAGUCCCCUUGGCAGGGGAUUCUUCGGUUCAGGAGCAAAGUCCGCAGAUAAUUUCUCAGAACGCGAUAUCCGCAAGAAUCUGCCUCGUUUCCAGGCCGAGAACCUGGAGCACAACCAGCGGAUCUUCGAGAGGGUGAACGAGAUGGCGACGAGGAAAGGAUGCACGCCGUCGCAGCUCGCUCUGGCCUGGGUUCACCACCAGGGACCAGACGUGUGCCCGAUCCCGGGGACUACCAAGAUGGACAACUUCGACAGCAACCUCGCGGCGCUCGCACUCAGGCUUACGCCGGAGGAGAUGGCUGAGCUAGAAUCUUACGCUGCCGCAGACGCUGUCAAAGGGUUCAGGACCUACAAUGCAGCUAACACGUGGAUGAGCUCGGAUACUCCUCCGCUCGAGUCGUUCAAGGGAGAGUGA